RNAcentral lists this ribosomal RNA (493 nucleotides) under Acidithiobacillus sp. enrichment culture DGGE gel band B4. RNAcentral's name for it is "bacterial SSU rRNA". It matches the Rfam family "Bacterial small subunit ribosomal RNA", at positions 966 to 1460 of the family's 1533-position model. Lineage: Bacteria; Pseudomonadati; Pseudomonadota; Acidithiobacillia; Acidithiobacillales; Acidithiobacillaceae. The record is from RNAcentral.
ACUAGAGGCUUGACAUGUCCGGAAUUCUGCACAGAUGCGGAAGUGCCCUUCGGGGAAUCGGAACACAGGUGCUGCAUGGCUGUCGUCAGCUCGUGUCGUGAGAUGUUGGGUUAAUUCCCCCAACGAGCGCAACCCUUGUCCUUAUUUGCCACCGGUUCGGCCGGGCACUCUAGGGAGACUGCCGGUGACAAACCGGAGGAAGGUGGGGAUGACGUCAAGUCCUCAUGGCCUUUAUGUCCAGGGCUACACACGUGCUACAAUGGCGCGUACAGAGGGAAGCCAAGCCGCCAGGUGGAGCAGACCCCACAAAGCGCGUCGUACUUCGGAUUGCUGUCUGCAACUCGACUGCCUGAAGUCGGAAUCGCUGGUAAUCGCGGAUCAUCAUGCCGCGGUGAAUACAUUCCCGGGCCUUGUACACACCGCCCGUCACACCACGAAAGUGGGUUGUACCAGAAGCAGCUGCCCCAACCUUCAGGAGGGGGGGUACCCCCAC